Molecule: transfer RNA, 72 nt
Filed under: Heterocephalus glaber (naked mole-rat)
Lineage: Eukaryota; Metazoa; Chordata; Mammalia; Rodentia; Bathyergidae
Rfam family: tRNA
About the family: Transfer RNA (tRNA) molecules are approximately 80 nucleotides in length. Their secondary structure includes four short double-helical elements and three loops (D, anti-codon, and T loops).
Source: Rfam by way of RNAcentral
GGGAGUGUAGUUUACUGGUAGAGCACUUGCCUGUCAUACACAAGGGCCUGGGUUUGAUUCCUAGCACUGCUC